AAAAUAGAAAACAUCCAGGGGCGGUUUGCCGUUUUUUUGAUCAAUUUUAAAAAGAUUGAUUAUCUAAAUUGUAACGGUCUUCGUUCUUCCGAUAAGCCUACCAAAUUCUAUGCUACAUCCAACCGGAUAGUGAUUUUCAGUCAACCCUUUUAAAAUUGAUUAAUUUAAAAAACGGCAAUUACCGCCCCUGGAUAUUUUCUAUUUUGU
Paramuricea clavata is the source of this 207-nucleotide non-coding RNA. Lineage: Eukaryota; Metazoa; Cnidaria; Anthozoa; Malacalcyonacea; Plexauridae. The record is from the annotation of a GenBank genome assembly.